Non-coding RNA from Microcebus murinus (gray mouse lemur), 994 nucleotides. NCBI's taxonomy places the organism in Eukaryota, Metazoa, Chordata, Mammalia, Primates, Cheirogaleidae. The record is from RefSeq and is a predicted model, not a curated record.
UCCCGGCUCCGAGCCUCCCCUGGGACCCUCGCUGUGAGGGAGGGGGUGGGGGGUGAGGUUCUCCCGCUAGAGACCGCGAACAGAGCUUGGGCUCCAGUCGCAGGGCCGGAGAAGGUUGCGGGCUUGCCCCAAGUCGUUUGGGCCAAGCGGGGAAACAGGAACUUUAGCCUCCAGGCGCUCUCGGAACCCCCACCCCCAUGAACACAAGGGGAGGCAGUUAACCCUUUACCCCCCUUCCCGUUAUCAGAAGGCCAGAGGGCCAGGGACCAGGGUGACCUAAUCUUGGCAAAGUUGCUCCACUCACAGGCCUCUGAGGAGGUCACUCCUGCCCUAAUGCUUUCAGGGCCACCCAGGGAGAGUCACACAUUAGAGCACACAGUGGGUGCUCCCUGGUGAAGGCAACCAACCUGGACUGGGAAUCUUAGGACUGGGGGGGGGUGUCUUUGCCAUUCUACCACCCCAGGAUGCAGACUCGCCUAUAGAAGAGUAUGGGGGUGUUCAGGGGCAAGGAUGGUGGUGUCAGGCAGUGUGGGGCUUAUCCAGCUUCUGCCACUUUGCUGUGUGUCCUCACGUCUCAGGGCCUCAGUCCCCUCCGCCCCAAUAAUGUGGGGAUUAUGAGAGUAUCAUACACACAGGUGGCCCUAAGGACUAAAUGAGAUAAAGCAGGUAAAGGGUUAGCCCAGUUCCUGGCUUAGAGAAGAGCCCAUGCAUCUGAUGAUGGGUAUCCUCAUCCCUGCCAGCGCCUCUUCCAUGUUCUCUCUCAUGGUGUGACCCUGGGCAGGACACUUCCCACUUUCCCAGGGCAUGGGUCUGCCUAACUCUACAAUGGGCAGGAAACUUCAGGAGGCCGAGGGAGCCAGGAGGGCACUGCAGAUCAGGCCGUGCCCUAUUCGUGGGACAUGGGCUGCAGCAUUUUCUUCACUUCUUGGAAGAAGACAGAAAGAAAAAUGAUCUUAACAAGAAAGUGAAGAAAUUAAAAGCCCCAUCACAUUUC